Molecule: long non-coding RNA, 6593 nt
Organism: Galleria mellonella (greater wax moth)
Lineage: Eukaryota; Metazoa; Arthropoda; Insecta; Lepidoptera; Pyralidae
Exons: 3
Source: RefSeq, a predicted model, not a curated record
CUGUUCGAAUUGGAUCAGUGGCCAGUGGUAUACGCGCGCGGCGCCGUGCGGUCGGCCGCUUAUCGACUCGACAUUUUCGAUAGCCGUGUUGGAACGCACGCGUCUUUAUAUUAUCUGUACUGUAUAGUGUUUUUUUUUCUGUUUUGUGCACUAUUUUUUUUUAAGUUCACGCCGCUGGACGCGGGAAAUGAACAGAUGAGCCCAUAUUUACUCAUCUUUGGACGUUAUUACUUCAUAAUUAAGAACUGUGGCUUUAUUCAUCGGUUAUGGAAUGAUUGUUAUUUGAAGAUAUGAGGGUAAGCUUUGAAAAUUCACUACGUGAAGACAUUAAGUUAUUUUUAACCUACUUGAAAAAUAAGGAGAUUAUUUCGAUUUUUUUUUAUGUCUGUUACCUCUCAAUUCUGUCAGUUGUAAACCAUUUAGGAGAAUUAUUUUUUUCUAAAAAGAUAUAUUUACAGAUUGGUCCAAUAAAAAUUUUAUUUCAGUUCAUUAGUUUAAUUUUAAAUUAAAAAAAAAAAAACUGGUUUUGGUGAAUUAAUUAAUAUUAUAUAAUUUUGUCCAUAUACUGAGUAGUAAAUGUAUAAUGGUAAUAAAUAACAUUAUGGCAACCCUUUUCACGCACACAUGGAUAAAAGAAUUGACCUGUUUUUGGUAAAUCUUUUGUAUGGAGACGUUCUAUCAAUAUAAGACUGAAGACGGAGUUUGUCCGAAGAUCCUAACGUGUUUUUUUUAUAUAAGAUUAAAUCUUCUCUGAAUACGUCUAAAGAGAGGAACUGCUGGUUAUAAUAAUUGCAGGCUUUUAUAAGAUUAGGUACUCAAGUAAUUCGUGUGUAAAAAAGAUAGAUAGAUACUUUUUAUUGUUUCCUCCAAAAGAUUACAAUAGUAAACUUAUUAAAAAUAUAAACAAUUACAAGAAAUAAAAAAAAGGUAUACUAAAUAAGUUGUUAGUUCUACAAUUUAUCCGGGGAAUAUAUAUACAUACAUAUAUAAAGCAAUACGUUUACAGAGUGUUGGCAAUUUGUACGGCGAAAUAAGGUUUACCGCAAAAAAGAUCUGUGAGACCGCAAAAAAAUACUAACAGACCCACACUAGUCCCCCGUGAGCCGUGAUGGACAGGAUAGGGCCCGGAGAUUACGAGCUAAUCCCAUAUUAUAAAGGCUUCUUACUGAAUUAUAAAACGUACUGGCUGACAAAUCGUUGUUUUGCUCCUCACCGCCAUCUAAUGGGUCCGUUUUUGCAACCGACUUAAAAAAAAAGGACCAUAUUUUCGGUUCCAAAUUCCAAAAAUUCGGACAAAAUUCGGUGAUAUUGUUUUUUAAGUUUAUUACCUCAAAACUUUGUCAGUUAUAAAGCAAUUUGGAAAAUUCUUUUUUAUUUCAGGAUUGGUCCCAUAGAAAGUUUAUCAAAACUUUAUUUUUGUAAAAAAAAGUUUUAAAUUAUCUUCUUAUCAAGAUAAAACUAUUCUAUCACUAAGUUGGAGUAAACAAUACAUAAUUGGAAAAUUCCGCUUAAAUCAAUCGUGCUUAGAUUAGCGUGAACAGACAUCGUGAUAUGGGAAUUUUGCUUGAUUAACAUUAUAGAUUAACCCUAUGUUAAGGAAAGUGGCCGAUUUAAUAUAUGUUAGCACAAGUGGAAGCGAAAAAGAUCCCAUAAAAGAAGUUUGUAUCUCAAAAUGGUACGGACUCACCUUGACUGCAGAUUUAGCGUAAGCGGUACACGCUCAGGAUGCACAAGGAUUCAGGAAGUCACGCCACGUGAAUGUCACAAUGGCGCUGAUCUAUUCUGGUCCACUCGUGAAAACCACACUAUAUAUGUUAGGUAAACAAACACUCGCGACACUUGGGAAAGAUAAUAGGGAAUGUCCAGGGGGUUCACGAGUUCUCCACACAGUAAAUAGGCACACAACAGCAACCCGUUGCAGAGUGUUACGCGGUAGACGUUGGACUGGGGCCGACCAUUUGUCUGUUCAUCUUAUGUCAGGGGAAUCGAUAGAAUAUUACGCGAUUGGACGGUAUUACGAUAUUUAUAGGGAUGUGACUUUCUUAAAUACCCUAAAUAUAUAAUUAAUAUAUAACUAAUUAUGAUUUAGAAGUAUUCCUCAUCAUCACCAUAUCAGCCUCUAACUGCCCACUGCUGAACAUAAGCCUUUCUUUGGGGGGUUUUGCCAGUAGCUGCCACGCUUGGCUGGCGGGUUGGCAAUCGCAGUUAAGCUUUAGAGUUGUUUUUAAAGGGACGCUGCUGCUCAUCCCUCGCCCUCGCUUAGUCACCACUUACGACACCCACACGAAAGGAAGAGAUGGCCUAUUCUAUGCCGGGACUUAGAGGUGUUAAAAUAUAGAAAUUUAGUUUUAAAAGCUAACUUUUCUGACGCAGUACAGGAUGACCUUCCCACUAGAUGGAGUGACGACCUGAAAUGCAUUGCAGGGCAAAAUAUGUACCGUCCAGCGUAUACCGACAGCGGAAGCGAUAUUGCCGUUCCAUAAUCAUCCAUGAAAAAAAAGACCUCGACUUGUUCAUAAACUCCAAAGCGUAUGUCUUGGACCAAGCGACUCAGCCUUCACGGAUCGAUCUCUCAUUAAAAGUAUUUUUGGAAGUAGAUUAAUAUUUUUUGGCAGCAUCUCAACAUGAAGACGAAUGAAACAUCGCAGGCGUCGCUUACUGUAUUUGAGAUAUUUCAUAUCGUUCAAUAUUGAUUUUCUAACGAUAUUUUACCGAUAUCAAAUAAAUGAUGUUAUUGUGUAAAACAUUGAUAAGUCCAAACAUGUAGCAACUAAUUUUAUACCACAUUUUGUUGACCAAUAAAGUUUAAAUCAAUAAAUAAAUAAUCCAUAAGUGGGAGUACACGGAGAGCAGUGGGAACAUAAUGAAAAUUAUUGAUCCAUACGAACGAAUUAUCUUUUCUUUUCCGUGGGUGUCGUAGGAGGUGACUAAAGGACUAAUGGUCGAGGGAUGGGCAGCAGCGUCCCUCUUAAAACAUCACCAAAAUCUUUUUUUUUUAUACAAUUCAAAAUGACAAACAAGCUGACGGCCCACCUGAUGAAAAGUGGUAACUGUCGCCUAUAGACAUGAGCAGUACCAUGGACAUAACAGAGUGUACUGUUUCGCCCAUGAUACCCCCCAUGCGUUGCUAUUCCUGAGGACUCAGAUGUUAUUCCUCUGUACCGUGUAAAUUCACGCCAUAUCCCACCUUUCAAACCGAAACACAGUCAUGCAAACACAACUGUUUCACGGUAGAAACACGAAUGGGACAGAGGUACCCAAGCAAUCGACUUUUGUACAAAGUCUCCCUAUGGUAAAACUAACUGUAAUUGCUAAUCUGCCUGACAAACGUGGUAACUAAUUAAAAACUGUCCCUUAUGAAAAAGACCUAUGUUCAACAGUGGACUGUUAACGGUUUAUACAAAAUAAUUAUAAUAAAGAUAAAGAUAAACGGAAACCGAAAUUUACGAAUUUAUGAAUAAUAUUAUGUUACAUUUGAAUAUAAUAGGCAUCAACGUUUUCUAAUCUCCAAAACGUAUACUUGGCAAGUGGAAAAAAUAUCAUUUCCUAAGACGCAUUGUUUGACAAGACAUUACUGAGCGCCCAAUAUGAAAAAUUACAAGGGCAAAAUUCAAUUUUCGCAAGUGGAAAGGCAACGUCGGCCCCGGAGAUGAAUAUGUAGCUAUCCCUUAAUAUAAACAGUGUGCCAAUUUUGUAAGACAUCAAACUGCCUUUUUUCGAAAGCAUCGAAUUAUGACUCGACUUAUUUUAGGCUGUGGUAUUGAGAUUUGUAACUCUCAAUUACUUAUGUGAGCCUAGUAUAUGAAACUCGAUGCAAUGCCUGUAUUUAAUUGGAAUAAAACCUUUUUAGUUGUAGUAACGACCUUCAAGGAUCUAUGUGCUCCUAGUAUUGAGUCUAUUGUGCAAGUGGUUAUUUGAUUUUAUUUUGUUACUUUACAUAUUAGCCGUCAAUCUCUGACUGCCAUUUUGUUCACGCACGUUUUGCGACACGUGUUUUACUUCUAAAGAGGCAUCUUCAGGCAAAUUAUUAGAUUCGGAGUCAAGUGUCAAUCUUUGUACACCCAAACAUUUUGAUGCAUUCUGUAUCAAAAUGUCCGCAAGACAAUGCCUAAAUCAGUAAAAUAACUAUAUAGCUUUCUUAUGACACAUUUAUAUAUGGCAAACAACAUGACCGCCCACCUGAUGGAAGGCAGUAAGCGUCGCCCUAAGAACAAGUAAUUACAUAGAAGGAGUGAUAAAAUUAUCAAUUCACAGCAGGCUAGUGUAUAGAAAAUGUUACCCUACCAAAUUCAGAUACAACCUGCUUGCAUACUUCCUACAUAAACUGUUUCCUCCAUAAAAUUACAAUAGUAAAUUUAUUAUAAAUAUAAAUAAUUACAAGAAGAUAUUACACUAAGAAAAGAAUGGGCGGCCUUAUCCUUAAGAGCGAUCUCUUCCAGGCAACCUUUGGAUGGAGAAGAGUAAUUAUAAACAUUAUGACUGGAGGCACGAAACUCUGUUCGUUUUUAAAUACAUAUAAUGUAUACAUACAUACAAAUUCAUACAUAUACGUAUAUAAUAAUCUGAGACAAAUACAAUGAUAAUGGAAUAGUAACCCUGCUUGUGCUAUUGGUGUAUGAUGGCGAGACAGUAAUGGGUGACGACUGAUAAGAAUGAAUACAGGUCACAUUGCCCAUUGUAAUCAUCAUGAUGAUCUCCAGAGGGGACUGGAUAAAGGUCAACUGGAUAAAGGUCAACUGGAUUCAGUCUGCUAUCAAUAUAGGCUAUAUUUUAUAAGGGGCCACUUAUCCCCAUUACUAACGAUCUCUUCUUCCAACUAAAGAAAUUUGCUCCGCCUAGUUUAAGAGUCGUUCAAGUAACAUACGCUACGCUAUUAAAUAGUAUGUUUAAAAGUUCCCCAAUACUGUGUUGCCCUUUACAAACCCUAACUAGAACCGAGUUAUUUCGCGCGCUACAGAAAUAGACACCCGCUUUUAUCCCACUAAAUAUAAAAUGCCGUCCAUGACAUUAGAAUUGUCUGUAUAGUAUAAGAUCCCGUUGUUAAUUUCUGUAGGUAUGAGACUUUUUAAUGAAACUUAGUUUAAAUGAAAGAUAAGCGAAAAUAUAAUUCUGACGCAGAGUUGCCAGAUGAAAAUAGGAAAUAAUUGUGGUAAAUAUGUUAAAGUCAUCAUAGUUUUCGAUACGAAAAAGAUUUACAAAAUAUAAAAAAUGGUCGUGAGUAAGGGUUGCUAGCAUCUAAUAUGUAGUCCUAGAUGAUUGUGAUGUAGUUACAGAAAAUCGGUUGUAUUUGAUUAAACUUACUGAUUUCUAUUCAAUUAAACUAAUUGGAAGUUUAUUCUUGUCUAUAUGACAAAAUAAGGUUGCCUGUAAAUAAGGGUUGGCUUCUAACAAUUCUAGGUUGCAACUAACUGAGGACAAACAACUGGGGCACAUUGGAGGGAAAGGGAUUGUUAGUAAUGGAGUUUAAAAUCUCUACUUCUAACAAUAUACCAUAUGUUACCAUAUGAAACCAUCAUGGUUUUUUAUUGUUGAAUUUGUCACGAUGGACCAUCUGACCUACUUCAUUCUUGCCUAUUAUCUCUCAUUUUUGCUUUGCCAGUGUAUUCUGAUAACGCAGGCGGAGUCACUAUUUUAUUUUCACCCAUUAUACUUGGGUAUAUUUUAUUACAUUUUAGCUCAUCUUUCAUUUAAAUCAAGUUUCAUUAAAAAGUCUUAUAUCUACGUAAGUUAGUGGCUGUAUCUCGGACUAAUAUUAAGAGAACUGGAGUGAAUGUAACCUUAUUGGUGUUUGUAAACCGUAUGCUCAAAGUAAAAUAAAUAUUCUAUUACCCGGAUCUUUUAAGAGACGGAUUUGUUUUAAAGCAAUCACUAUUUAUUUAUGUAUAUCACGCAAAGCACGGGACGAAGACCUGUUGUUAUUAUGUUUUUUUAUUUCUUUUUUAAUUUGUGCAUACGACAAAUUCUGUUCUUUUCAUUUUUUUCUUUUACUUUCUUUUAUGGCUUCUUUAGCAGGAAAAUUGGCGUUCCAUUGUUUCUGCCUAACUUUAUGGGCGAUAGACCAGUAUUUUAACUGAAAUUCUUUAAUAGGUCCAUUCAUCAUCGUCAUCAUAUCAGCUUUUAAUUGUCCACUGCUGAACUUAAGCCUCCCUCAGGGGAUUUUGCUAGUAGUACCCACGCUUGGCAGGCCGACUGGCAACCGCAGUUAGGCUUUGGAGAUGUUUUAAGAGAGACGCUGCCGUCCAUUCUUCGCUUUCCCUUUUACGACACCCCCGGGAAAGGAAGGGGUGGCUUAUUCUAUGCCGAGACCACGCGGUCUUUGUAAUGUACGGUAAUGGUGCAUUGUUUACCACAAAAUAAACAAUUUUAAUCAAUUGUUUCAAAUAUGAAUUGUUAGCAAUUUAGUUACUUAAUCCAACCGCAGAUUUCAAUGUUCGCCGUUCGCUUUCUAAGAAGUCGAGUUAGUAAAUACUAUUGAUAUUUUGUAAUCGAAUUUGACUGUAUUUUGUUUGUAAUGCAACGUGGGAGUUAACUUUUCCGAUAAAACAAAAUAUACACAUAAAAUUGGCAAAAAGCGUAAAAUCCUUCUACUAAUG